CAGGCUUAACACAUGCAAGUCGAGGGGCAGCAUGGUCUUAGCUUGCUAAGGCCGAUGGCGACCGGCGCACGGGUGAGUAACACGUAUCCAACCUGCCGUCUACUCUUGGACAGCCUUCUGAAAGGAAGAUUAAUACAAGAUGGCAUCAUGAGUCCACAUGUUCACAUGAUUAAAGGUAUUCCGGUAGACGAUGGGGAUGCGUUCCAUUAGAUAGUAGGCGGGGUAACGGCCCACCUAGUCUUCGAUGGAUAGGGGUUCUGAGAGGAAGGUCCCCCACAUUGGAACUGAGACACGGUCCAAACUCCUACGGGAGGCAGCAGUGAGGAAUAUUGGUCAAUGGGCGAGAGCCUGAACCAGCCAAGUAGCGUGAAGGAUGACUGCCCUAUGGGUUGUAAACUUCUUUUAUAAAGGAAUAAAGUCGGGUAUGGAUACCCGUUUGCAUGUACUUUAUGAAUAAGGAUCGGCUAACUCCGUGCCAGCAGCCGCGGUAAUACGGAGGAUCCGAGCGUUAUCCGGAUUUAUUGGGUUUAAAGGGAGCGUAGAUGGAUGUUUAAGUCAGUUGUGAAAGUUUGCGGCUCAACCGUAAAAUUGCAGUUGAUACUGGAUAUCUUGAGUGCAGUUGAGGCAGGCGGAAUUCGUGGUGUAGCGGUGAAAUGCUUAGAUAUCACGAAGAACUCCGAUUGCGAAGGCAGCCUGCUAAGCUGCAACUGACAUUGAGGCUCGAAAGUGUGGGUAUCAAACAGGAUUAGAUACCCUGGUAGUCCACACGGUAAACGAUGAAUACUCGCUGUUUGCGAUAUACGGCAAGCGGCCAAGCGAAAGCGUUAAGUAUUCCACCUGGGGAGCACGCCGGCAACGGUGAAACUCAAAGGAAUUGACGGGGGCCCGCACAAGCGGAGGAACAUGUGGUUUAAUUCGAUGAUACGCGAGGAACCUUACCCGGGCUUAAAUUGCAGAUGAAUUACGGUGAAAGCCGUAAGCCGCAAGGCAUCUGUGAAGGUGCUGCAUGGUUGUCGUCAGCUCGUGCCGUGAGGUGUCGGCUUAAGUGCCAUAACGAGCGCAACCCUUGUUGUCAGUUACUAACAGGUUCUGCUGAGGACUCUGACAAGACUGCCAUCGUAAGAUGUGAGGAAGGUGGGGAUGACGUCAAAUCAGCACGGCCCUUACGUCCGGGGCUACACACGUGUUACAAUGGGGGGUACAGAGGGCCGCUACCACGCGAGUGGAUGCCAAUCCCAAAAACCUCUCUCAGUUCGGACUGGAGUCUGCAACCCGACUCCACGAAGCUGGAUUCGCUAGUAAUCGCGCAUCAGCCACGGCGCGGUGAAUACGUUCCCGGGCCUUGUACACACCGCCCGUCAAGCCAUGGGAGCCGGGGGUACCUGAAGUGCGUAACCGCGAGGAGCGCCCUAGGGUAAAACUGGUGACUGGGGCUAAGUCAUAACA
Molecule: ribosomal RNA, 1446 nt
Filed under: uncultured organism
Description: 16S ribosomal RNA
Rfam family: Bacterial small subunit ribosomal RNA
Source: RNAcentral